AGAGUUUGAUCCUGGCUCAGGAUAAACGCUGGCGGCGUGCCUAACACAUGCAAGUCGCACGCGCUUCGCAAGAAGCGAGUGGCGGACGGGUGAGUAACACGUGGGAACCUACCUUGAGGUGAGGGAUACCGGCGAGAAAUCGCCGACAAGCCCGCAUAGGCUUCUCUUGGGAAGCAAAGCUCCUUUUCGGAGGGGCGCCACAGGAUGGGCCCGCGGCCGAUUAGCUAGUUGGUGGGGUAAGAGCUCACCAAGGCAUCGAUCGGUAGCUGGUCUGAGAGGACGAUCAGCCACACUGGGAUUGAGAACGGCCCAGACUCCUACGGGGGGCAGCAGUGAGGAAUUUUCCGCAAUGGACGAAAGUCUGACGGAGCAACGCCGCGUGCAGGAAGACGGCCUUCGGGUUGUAAACUGCUUUUCUGUGGGGAGAGUUCGGACGGUACCACAGGAACAAGCCCCGGCUAACUACGUGCCAGCAGCCGCGGUAAUACGUAGGGGGCAAGCGUUAUCCGGAGUUACUGGGCGUAAAGGGCACGCAGGCGGUCAAGUAAGUGUGCGGGGACAGUGGGCGGCUUAACUGCCCAAGGGUCGCACGGACUGCUUGACUGGAGGGCCAGAGAGGGACCUGGAAUUCCGGGUGGAGCGGUGAAAUGCGUAGAGAUCCGGAGGAACACCAAGGGCGAAGGCAAGGUCCUGGCUGGUUCCUGACGCUGAGGUGCGAAAGCCAGGGGAGCGAACGGGAUUAGAUACUCCGGUAGUCCUGGCCGUAAACGAUGGCGACCAGAUGGGGGGGGCUUCGACCCCGUCCCCGUCGCGGCAAACGCGAUGAGUCGCCCGCCUGGGGAGUACGGCCGCAAGGCUAAAACUUAAAGGAAUUGACGG
This 879-nucleotide ribosomal RNA is filed under the name uncultured bacterium. Its description in RNAcentral is "bacterial SSU rRNA". It matches the Rfam family "Bacterial small subunit ribosomal RNA", at positions 8 to 916 of the family's 1533-position model. The record is from RNAcentral.